RNAcentral lists this transfer RNA (76 nucleotides) under Shewanella putrefaciens. Its description in RNAcentral is "tRNA-Ala". The record is from RNAcentral. Lineage: Bacteria; Pseudomonadati; Pseudomonadota; Gammaproteobacteria; Alteromonadales; Shewanellaceae.
GCAACGCCGCCACUAAUGCCUGUUCAAUAUGGAACAAGCGAUCAACCUGCGGAUGCUGCCCCUCAUACUGCCCAAG